GAUGAACGCUAGCUACAGGCUUAACACAUGCAAGUCGAGGGGUAACGAGAGGAAAGCUUGCUUUCCUUGUCGACGACCGGCGCACGGGUGAGUAACGCGUAUCCAACCUGCCCCCAACUAGGGAAUAACCUUGCGAAAGUAAGACUAAUACCCUAUAAUUUCCUCAGAUGUCAUCUGACGAGGAAUAAAGAUUUAUCGGUUGUGGAUGGGGAUGCGUCUGAUUAGCUUGUUGGCGGGGUAACGGCCCACCAAGGCAACGAUCAGUAGGGGUUCUGAGAGGAAGGUCCCCCACAUUGGAACUGGGACACGGUCCAAACUCCUACGGGAGGCAGCAGUGAGGAAUAGUGGUCAAUGGGCGGAAGCCUGAACCAGCCAAGUAGCGUGCAGGAUGACGGCCCUAUGGGUUGUAAACUGCUUUUAUACAGGAAUAAAGUUAACCACGUGUGGUUAUUUGUAGGUACUGUAUGAAUAAGGACCGGCUAAUUCCGUGCCAGCCGCCGCAGUAA
This 506-nucleotide ribosomal RNA is filed under the name uncultured bacterium. RNAcentral describes it as "partial 16S ribosomal RNA". It matches the Rfam family "Bacterial small subunit ribosomal RNA", at positions 28 to 523 of the family's 1533-position model. The record is from RNAcentral.